UGGGGUUAGCCAGAUGGGGGCUGAGGGAUGUGACGAAGCGGGACUGUUCUUAAUGUUUCCUCUAAAUAUUGUGGGGGUGCCUCAGUUUCCCCUAUGCAGUUCUUAAGUAUCUAGGUGGUGGGGUAAGGGUGUAUGAUCAUUGCAGAGCCCUAGAGGGCAGGUGUGUGCAGGAGUCUGGACACAGAGAAUGGCCGACACCCUGUUUCCUGGCAACUGAUGGCCUGGGCCCUUCCCCCCUGCAAGGUGAGAGCUAAAGGGUUGGAGAACAAAGGAAUCAGGUGCCCUCCUGGCCCGGGAAAGGGACAAAGCCCAGAGGGGGAGGGGCUGGAGGGAGUUUCAGUUUGGGGCUGGCUGGGACAUGGAGUGAAGUGCAGAUGGAGUUGUCUGGCUCACUGCCCCCCAAAAUGGACCCAGCUGAGGGGUCCUGUUCUCUGCACCUGCAAGCUCUGUGUUAGACCAUGUUCCUGUCGUCUAAUAAACCUCUGUUUUACUGGC
Caretta caretta (loggerhead turtle) is the source of this 495-nucleotide non-coding RNA. The record is from RefSeq and is a predicted model, not a curated record. Lineage: Eukaryota; Metazoa; Chordata; Testudines; Cheloniidae.